This 217-nucleotide ribosomal RNA is filed under the name Campeiostachys nutans. RNAcentral's name for it is "Elymus nutans partial small subunit ribosomal RNA". The stretch from base 40 to 217 matches the Rfam family "Eukaryotic small subunit ribosomal RNA", at positions 686 to 864 of the family's 1831-position model. Lineage: Eukaryota; Viridiplantae; Streptophyta; Magnoliopsida; Poales; Poaceae. The record is from RNAcentral.
GGGUCAGUAGGUUGGUCAUGCCACUGGUAUGUACUGGUCUCACUGAUUCCUCCUUCCUGAUGAGCUGUAAUGCCAUUAAUUUGGUGUUGCGGGGAAUCUGGACUGUUACUUUGAAAAAAUUAGAGUGUUUAAAGCAGGCUAACGUCUGAAUACAUUAGCAUGGAAUAAUGAAGUAGGACGAUUGAUCCUAUUUUUGUUGGUUUCUAGGAUUGACGUA